GUAAGAUACAGUUUCAUUUGGCCCAGAAGUGAACAGUGAGAGAGCCAAGAAGAAUCCAACAUCGAAACUGUUUGAAAACACUGCUUUUGGAUAGAACGCUCUUCCUUCUAUGACAAGUAGAGAGUAAGGGGGAAAAAAUUAAUAUCACAAUGUGGGAGGCAAAUAGUCAGUGUAAAGAAAACAACUGUAUCCUGAGAACUAAAAGAAAAGCAUACCUCUGGAAAUUACUCUAUAGGAGACAUUUUUGCAUCCUUGGAGUAGAACCAAGUCGUUGGGCAGAGAAUAUAGAGGAUAUUGAAGAGAGACAACUGCAAAGAAACAGAACUUGUAAUGUCAGAAAUGUCUGUCUGAGAGAUAGUAAAUCAUGGAUUUGACAAGUGAAAUCAACAAACUUAAGACCAAACUUCAGAAACUGCAAGAAUGCAGUAAGAAAGGAUAAAGAGAGUGAGAAAACUGUAAAAGGAAAAUGACCAAUAUGGAAAAGUGAGAAUAAAGACUCAGUAAAAAAAUUCUGGAUACUUUUUAUAGAAGGAAAUAAGAGAUCCAUUUCAUUAAUGAUUAUUGGUAGAAAAAUCACACAUGAAAACCUUAAUAAAUUGUGCUCCCAGAGCAUCAAUUCCUUAGUUAGUAAACUUCCAAAUUCUCAAUCCAAAUCUAAAUUAAGAGUUUUUUGGAGGCCAAUUAUGAUAAAAUACUAAGAAAAAAUUUAUUAAAAAAUUCAAAAUAAGAUUUGGAUAGAUAUUUCUGGUCAGAAGAUUGGAUGCUCCAAGAUAUACAUUCUUCCUAUAUUAUGCUAUAAUUUAAAUAAUUUUAAUAAAAAUCCUAAUGGUAUGGGCUAAAGGGAAGCCUGAAAAAGCGAAUCUAACAUUUAUCUGGAAGCAGAAAUGGUGCAAGUAUCCAGGAUAUUUUUUAGAGUUAUUAUAAUAGACUGUAAUCAAAACAGCAUGAUGAUAGUAAAACUGAUAGGCAAAGAAUGAAGGGAAGAUGUCCUGGCACAAUUUAAUGAUUCUUUCUCUGCUAAUUUUGAACGCCAAAUUUAAUCAUAAACUCACCCCUCUACAUACACCAAAGUCUAUUUUUGGAAGAAGUGGUUAACCAUUUGAAAUAAAGUUGGCAUCAUUUCUCAAAGCAUAUGCCACAAUACAGAGACCAAAAGGACUAAAUAGUUAAACACACAAAAAGAAGCCAAAAUAAAAUGUCUAUGGAUAUAUCUCCGAUCUUGAGCUUGGUUUAGUGUGUCUACGUAUAAUGAGAUGGGGAAAAUUUUAUUCACCACAAUUCCAUUGAUGAAUGGAACUCAUUUGUUGGAGAAAGUUCACGAAGUAGAGAGGGAGGCAGGAGAGGGGGCUGAGUAAUAACCAUUGCUCUGUGGAAGACAAAGAGAAUUUCCUUGAUAUUCCGGGAAGGAGGAGAGGAGGAAGACAAAGAAAGGCAAAAAAGGGAAAAAGAAAAAAGAAGAGACAAAAGAAACAGGAAAAGGAAAGGAGGGAGGGGGGAGGAAGGGAAGAAGGAAGGAAGGAGAAAAAAAAGGCAUCAUAAUGUGUGUGGACGGGAAGAGGAAGUCUUGUCUAGAAGAAGCAAGACGCUGAACUGUUACCAACUAUGAAAUUGGUGUUUGGGCUGGUUUUCAGCAAUUCCUACAGGACAGGAAGUGCCUAUCAAGGAUCUGAGUUAUAUAAAAGCAGUGGAGAAAAUCUCAAAGAGAGGCAAUUGGUGGAUUUUCCAACAUAAGAUUAGACAUUUUUUUUUUACAUCGAGGGUCUGCAAACUACAACCCAUGGGCCAAAUCCAACCACACCCAUCAAUUUAUGUAUUAUCUCUCCCUGUUUUCCGGCAACUGGGCAGCGUUGAGUAGCUUUGAUAGAGAACAUAUGGCCUACAAAGUCUAAAAUAUUUACUGUCUGGCCCUUUAUAGAAAAACCUUGCUAAUAUAGCUCUGCAUAAAAACAUCAUAAUUAAAAGGCAAACAGCAAACUCAGAAACAAAAUGAAACAUGACACAAAUGUUCCAAAGCAAAGAAAAUGGACCUAACUCUAUAAAGGGCCCUUCCAGGUUUAUCGAACAACUUCCAUACCACAGGAGGCAGAGGACAUAAAUAUAGUUCACUGAAGAAAAAUACAAAGGUACCAGCGCAUGAACAGAAGGGAAUUUGGACUCCCAAGUAGGCCAUCAAAACCAGCCAAAUAAAUCACAGUCCUAUCAGUGUUUGGGGUAAGGAAGUCUCAGUGUAGAUGAUUUCAUAGACUAAUUUUUGGUUGGGGGUUCUGUUCUAAAGCAGUUUGGCAGUUUAUGUUUGAAUCUUAAACCUCCCCCCUCCCUCCAAAAAAAAAAAAAAGGUUAUGCCCCCCCUGAGAAAUUCCACUUCUGAGAAACCUUUUGCAGAUCCAUAGGCGUAAAGGUGAGCAUAUUUCCUGAAGGAAUAGUGUCCUUGGUCCACCUCGUACUAGCUGGGAUGGCUCUGUGUGAGCCACCAAACCUUGCUAAGCUUCCAUUUCAUUGUGGGUGAAAUGUGAAUUUAAAAAUAGUACCCUAAUUAAUUAAUUAAUAAAAAUAGUGCCCGAUCAUAGGGCUAGGAUGAAGGUCCAGUAAAACGGUCCAUGGACAUUUUUAUGAAAACAUAGAAUACAUGUCACAAAGUGGUAACCAUAUCAAAUCCCAAUGAUUUUUUAAAAAUGAAAUAAUGAAAAAAUUAGUAAAAUAAAAAUGAGAGCACCUCAGCUGGUCAUGUGUCCGACUCUUGAUUUUGUCUCAGGUCGUGGCUUUGGGGUUGUAGGAUCAAGCUCCGAGUGGGGCUCUGUGCUCGGUAAGGAAUCUGCAUGGGACUCCCUCUCUCCCUCUCCCUCUCCCCCUCCCCACCAUGCUCUUUCUCUCAUUCUCAAAUAAGUAAAUAAAUCUUUAAAAAAAUAAAAAUAA
Molecule: long non-coding RNA, 2913 nt
Filed under: Mustela putorius furo (domestic ferret)
Lineage: Eukaryota; Metazoa; Chordata; Mammalia; Carnivora; Mustelidae
Description: lncRNA (ENSMPUG00000031162.1)
Source: RNAcentral